GACCUGGCUAGGCGGUCUUGCUGAAAGGUAAGCACUGCUCUGGUCGGGUCUUUCCUUCUGGGGAACCAGUGUGCUCUUAAUUGGGUGCGCUGGGGAUCCAGGACUUUUACUUUGAAAAAAUUAGAGUGUUUAAAGCAGGCUUACGCUUGAAUACAUUAGCAUGGAAUAAUAAAACAGGCC
Molecule: ribosomal RNA, 180 nt
Filed under: uncultured Glomeromycotina
Lineage: Eukaryota; Fungi; Glomeromycota
Description: partial small subunit ribosomal RNA
Rfam family: Eukaryotic small subunit ribosomal RNA (bases 91-180)
Source: RNAcentral